AAUUUUGGACAAUGGGGGAAACCCUGAUCCAGCCAUCCCGCGUGUAUGAUGAAGGUCUUCGGGUUGUAAAGUACUUUUGGCAGAGAAGAAAAGGUAUCUCCUAAUACGAGAUACUGCUGACGGUAUCUUCAGAAUAAGACCCGGCUAACUACGUGCCCGCAUCCGCGGUAAUACGUAGGGUGCAAGCGUUAAUCGUAAUUAUUGGGCGUAAAGCGUGUGUAGGCGGUACGGAAAGAAAGAUGUAAAAUCCCAGGGCUCAACCUUGGAACUGCAUUUUUAACUGCCGAGCUAGAGUAUGUCAGAGGGGGGUAGAAUUCCACGUGUAGCAGUGAAAUGCGUAGAUAUGUGGAGGAAUACCGAUGGCGAAGGCAGCCCCCUGGGAUAAUACUGACGCUCAGACACGAAAGCGUGGGGAGCAAAC
Molecule: ribosomal RNA, 421 nt
Filed under: uncultured bacterium
Lineage: Bacteria
Description: partial 16S ribosomal RNA
Rfam family: Bacterial small subunit ribosomal RNA
Source: RNAcentral